UGCUAGUGAACUCCCAACAAACCUCUCCAUUUGGUCCUACUCUAAGGACAGGGGUCCACAGGGACUGCUGCAGAGCUGCCCUAAUACUAGGACACUACUAUUAGUGUAUACUUUCAGUAUCAAAAGGGGAUCUCUAAGAAAGAAGGGGACAGACUCUACGAAAGAGUGUAAAAAGGGACACUCUACCUUGAGCUGGAGAGGUCUAUGAGCACUUGAUCUAGCUGUGGAUGUCCCUGUUCAUUGCAGGGGAGUUAAACUAGAUGACCUUUAAGGAUCCCUUCCAACUCAAACGAUUCUAUGAUUCUAGCUCCUGUCACUGCAUUAGAGAGGUUGCCGCAUGCUGCUUCCCGUGUCAGGAACAGCUGCUGCAGUCACCCGGGCAAUAUCCAAGUCCAAAUAGGACAAUGCUGUUUGCUCCUUAAAUGCUUCCGUUUCCUGAUGUAUCAGCAGGCAGAAGAAACCAUGUUUAGAACAAGCUCCUUGCUAUAAGUGUUUUUUUCAAAUAAUUUAUAAUCCUCUAGUCACAUGAGUACACUUAUGACGAUGGAGUGCAGAAGAAAAUGUACAAACAUUUUUCAUUACAUUGCAUUACAUUUUGAUGUUAAGAUCUUGAUCCUUUUGUGUGAAAAGUGAGAUUAAAAACAGAAGUAUUUAAUCCUUUCAUAAUGCAACUAGAUUAUCCCUCUUGCACUCAAAAAUGCUUAUCGUAGUUGGCUGUAGUUAUUUUCUAAGCAGAAUCAGAAAAACAGCAGCAAGAAGAAACCACAGUUAGGUGUUUCCGCUGAUUACCUUUGUUCUUCCUGCCCUCAGAUACUGCAGGUAGUGUCUCCUGCAGCUAACACAUGGCUCAGACAAGAGUGCUACACCAGCCAGCCAGUGCUAACCAUAGUCCAGUGGAGGUUUCAAGUCAGGUGCUUUUAUUUGAAGGUAGAAAUUAACAGUGCUCCUUCAGCUGACAGUUCCUUUCCCCCACUAUGUGUCUGGAAGCACAGUGCCAACAUCUGAAGUGGAAAUGGCAGAGACCAGACCUGACCCUCCUGAAUCUGCAGCUGUUGGCUGAUAGUCUUUCCAAGCAGCAACACGAGUGCUGUGCUUGGUUGCACUGGGUAACCCCACAAACUGCUGAAAAUUUCAGAUUUGCACCCAGGUCACUCAUGUCAGAGCAGUUUGCAACAGGGGUGUUGUGGCAGCACCAAGCAGCAGAUAUAAUAUCUGCAUCAGGACUAAAAUGAGACAGCCCUGAGAAAUGAAAUGGUAUGUCAGAUAACAGAGCAAAAUACUUUUCAGGACCAUUAGGGAACUUGGAAUAAUGUAUAUGCUUGGAAAUACUGUGGCUUAAUUUCAAAAAGUGAAAGAAGACCUAAGAAGGACCUGCAUAACUUCUGUUACCUUGGUGUCCAUGUGAUGGUUGGAUUGAUCAAGUUCCACUGCUCACAGUGUUGGUAUGCACGUAGAUGAGCAGAAUUCAUCUUGGUUUGAAGUGACUGUGUCCAAGGGUGCUGUUACCUGUGUAAAGGCGAUUUCUCAUUCAGCCUGUUGCAACUGCACAAGUGAAAUACGGAGAAAUGUGAAACAAAAACAACACAACUGCAAAACAAAAUAUUUUUAUUCCAGUGUAGAAAGAAUAUCAGCCCCAAGAACGGAGAAGCAAGCAUGUUACUGUUCCACACACCUGGAGCUUUUCAAAGUAAGAGAUGAAAAACUGUUUUCAGUUUGAGCUAGUAGGAAGAUAAAAGUUUGAAGCAGCGUUUUGGGUGAUUUUUCUGUGAUGAUGCAUUUCACAGAGAGGAGAGACUGAAAUCAAGGACCGUGUUGUAGUAAUUUAUUCCAGCCAUGCAGGAAAAGGAUGCACUGUGGGUAAACUGAAGCAAAUGCCUUUUUACAACAGAAGAAAGUUAGCUGAAGCCAAACCAUCAUUUUCACAGGCCUCUAGGAGCAAGGCAUAGCAGUGUGCAUCGCAGGGAGUUUUGCUGCAUGCACGGCACAGUGUUUGUUCAGUGCACAUCUGAACAGCGAUACAGCUAGAAAUUGGGCUCUCUAGAGCACGGCAUGUUGACAUACCAUGGGAAUGUGUAGCAUGAGAUUGAUUCCCUUUCAUCUAAAACUGGGGCCUCUGCUUCUGCACCGCCUAUGGUUUUCCCACUUGUAGUCACUGAUGAGGAACUCUUGGGACUUAAGUGCAGUGGAGAUAUUAAUAACAAUUUUUAUCUUAAUCUCUGCAUUUUUUCUGUUGCAACUUCCUAUAUCUAUUUACUCUUUUGACAAACUGCUACUGUUUUAGCAUUCUGUUAGUGCUAAAUGGCUGCAGGCCAUUCUAAACGUGGAUCUUCAUUCAUAACUAAUGCAAAAAACUGAAACAGACUUCAGGUUGCAGUCUGAGGUUCCUGACUGCCUUUGAAAUGAAACUUGGAUGAAUGGUGUCUGCAAAAAAACCCCACAUUUCUAAUCUAUGAAGUACUUUGUUGAUGUAGCCUCUGAAGGGUCCUAUAAGCUUUGAUAUCUUAAAAAUUGGUUUUGGUUUCAGGAAAAAGGCAGGCUGUAACUCAUUUACUAGCAGAGGAAGCAAGACAAAGCAAUGAGACAACCUAUUGCACGUAAUACAGGAUGUCUGCUGUAAAGCUAGAAGUGUCUUUAUGGUCUGCACCUUCAUUUAUCAAGCUGAAUGUUUAGCACCUCUGAAAAUUAGCCCCCACAACUUCUGAGGCAGAAGUCUGUAUUUUGGUGUAGGAUUAUCACCUUCCCAGUAAGUCUCAAGUUGUUAAAAAUGUUACUUUUCAUCCCUGAGACUGGGAGGGAGAUCAGUGUGAAUGGUGUUAGUUUGCCUUGAGAGUUGGGGUCAAGAAUCUGAGGCAAUGCCUAUAGGAGUUCUUGGAGCAUGAACAGAGACUUUUUGCAGCACAAAUACUGGUGUUAACUCAGACUCCAAACUUUGUCUUCUUUGCUAUGCUGACCUCUAGGAAAACUCUUCUGCAAAAUGGUUUGCCAAAGCAUUUGUAUAAGGAACUAGCAUGGCUUCAAAAUAGUCACUGCUCAUUUUGUUUAGGGUUUCACGUCUGACGCCAAAUCAGAAGUUGGCCUUCACACGAAGUUGCAGGCUGUUUGCUGCUCCCUCUGCUGGUCCCAACACGUUUGAGUGAGUCAAGGUCUUGGUACAUUUGGACAGGGCUCAGUCAGCAGAGAAAGCAUAUCCUGUGUUAAAAAGUGACACAGUACUUCUGAAUAUUUGAAUAGGACUCUGCAUUCCGAGUCUGGGUGAAAGGAGGACGGCACGCACUUUUCAACCAAACUACGACUGCUUCAGCAACAGAUAAAGUUGGUAUCAACCUGUUAAGUUCUAGCCUGAUAACUUGUAAACAAUAGCUUGCUUUCUCAAAGUAGUUUGGGCAGAAGUGACUGUGCACAUGCCUCCCAUUAGCAGAUAAUAAGUCUGUUUCCGAAGGGACUUUUCAUUGGCUGAAAAGCUAGAAAGCUCUGCUCAGUUUGUUGUUAGUUAGCAAUGGUGCCUGCAGAAAGGAAAUAAUAGACUGAAAGCUUUGAAGAGAUUGUUUUGAAAGAACUGCUUUAAAGCAAAGAGAAGAGAUUUUAGAGAGAUCAAUGCACGUAUUCUAUAGGAAAAUGAUUCCAUUAAUCCAUAAAAACCCUUGGGAUAUCUUGUUUCUUGUUCCCCUCGUAAUCAGACUGAGAAAAUGUGCUGUGGAUCAGGAGCAUUUUCCUCCUAGAUGCAAGAAGGUGAAAGUGAGUCAUUGGUUAAUGAUCAUUGUUAAGAGCAGAGAAAUGUUUCUCAAUUAACCUGCUUCAGGCUUCACUUCAGCUCACUCAGUCAGAAGAACUUCAUCCCAGUGUGGAAUGUUUGGUACUGAACACUUACAAAAGCCAAAACCCUAUCAGAAAUUAACUAGCUGAAGACAUACAAUGGAAAUACUUCUUGUUUUCCACCAAGUUCAUGCCUCUAUUACAGGCAACCACAUCACUCUUUCAUAAACAGUGAAAUCCCUUCCUUAAACUGAUCAAGGCUGCUGGGCUUUACUGUUUGGUUUCUUCUACUCGGACCCCCAAACACCGUUGUUUUCAUAAAUAAUAAAUGUACAGUUGCUGGCUGCACUAUGACUGUUUAUAACUGCCUGCACUAACUCUGUUCUUUAGUGCAACUAGUUCUUCUUUCUGGCAGUUGUUUUUUUUCCUUUUCUACUCUCAAACUAAUUUUACAAAGCUGUACAACUUCCUCCUUGUCUUUGUUAUGGUAGACUAACCAUGCUCUGCCAGUCUCUCCCAAAAAUAGGAACUUGGGACUACUGAUGAUCUUCAUAGCCUUUUCUGCACCUGUUGUAUGUUCAUCUUCCUCUGAAGUAGAAUGAUCAGAUACAAUGUUCUGACUGACUGAAAUAAGGAAUUAAUCUUUCUCAACUGUUUCUUGGUAUACAGGUUGCAUUUGCCAUUUUCUCUGGUAAAUUCAUUUGUGCCAUGAUCAGUAAAGGUCUUUAUCCUUCUGUCUUUUCCAACAGUGGAUAUUCCGAUUCGCAGAAGUGUUCCUUGGGUUGGGAAAAAAAAAAAAGAAAAAAAGAAAAAACAAACAAACAAAACCCUAACACUGAAAUGCUGAAUCUUGCUAGCUUUUCCAUGGUGCAUAGGGAACCCUGAGUCAUUGCACUUCAGUCACUAGACAAUCUUAGGACAAGGUACAAGUAAAACAGCAGACAAGAAAUAGUAGCGGUAUUAACAACUAUAAAAAAAAUAGCACAGUUGGACCUCUUACUACCUUUUUAAAAUAGUGAGAAGAAAUGUAUAUAUAUUUAUUCAGGGAGUAAAAAUUAUAUGUCUUUCUUCUAAGAUUCCACCCUAAACAAACAAAAACAAACAACCCACAAGCCCCAUAAGAUAAUAAACUAACCAAAUUCUUGGCAGGUAUUAGAGACACCACAAGAGACUCCAUAAAA
Long non-coding RNA from Gallus gallus (chicken), 4934 nucleotides. The record is from Ensembl. Lineage: Eukaryota; Metazoa; Chordata; Aves; Galliformes; Phasianidae.